This 405-nucleotide unclassified non-coding RNA is filed under the name fungal sp. Its description in RNAcentral is "partial internal transcribed spacer region". The stretch from base 1 to 46 matches the Rfam family "Eukaryotic small subunit ribosomal RNA", at positions 1786 to 1831 of the family's 1831-position model. The record is from RNAcentral. Lineage: Eukaryota; Fungi.
AAGUCGUAACAAGGUUUCCGUAGGUGAACCUGCGGAAGGAUCAUUUCCAAAAAAAAAAACAAACAAAACCAAAAACAACCAGUUCUCCUUUGAUUUGAAUUUUUUUCUGUCUUCGGAUGGAGAAAAGGAGAUGAAAGAGGGGAAGUGUAUGUGAACUGUUGAAAACCUUUUCCAAUUUUUGUAUUUUUCGGACUUGUCUCUCUAGGGAGAUGAAGAAAGGGAAAUACAAAUUUUUACAAACCAAUUGAAACUCCAACACGAUUUCCUUUUUGUUUGUUUCGUCUCUUGUUAAAAAGAGACAGAGACACAAUGAAAAAGUAAUCAAGUUGAUCUUAUUAUCUUUUUUUACAACAACAAUCAAAAAAUUUGAUAUGACAACUUUUAACGGUGGAUCUCUUGGCUCGU